Molecule: transfer RNA, 88 nt
Filed under: Oscillospiraceae bacterium
Lineage: Bacteria; Bacillati; Bacillota; Clostridia; Eubacteriales; Oscillospiraceae
Description: tRNA-Ser
Rfam family: tRNA
About the family: Transfer RNA (tRNA) molecules are approximately 80 nucleotides in length. Their secondary structure includes four short double-helical elements and three loops (D, anti-codon, and T loops). Further hydrogen bonds mediate the characteristic L-shaped molecular structure. tRNAs have two regions of fundamental functional importance: the anti-codon, which is responsible for specific mRNA codon recognition, and the 3' end, to which the tRNAs corresponding amino acid is attached (by aminoacyl-tRNA synthetases). tRNAs cope with the degeneracy of the genetic code in two manners: having more than one tRNA (with a specific anti-codon) for a particular amino acid; and 'wobble' base-pairing, i.e. permitting non-standard base-pairing at the 3rd anti-codon position.
Source: RNAcentral
GGAGAGAUGGCCGAGUGGCUUAAGGCAGCAGUCUUGAAAACUGCCGAAGAGUGAUCUUCCGUGGGUUCGACUCCCACUCUCUCCGCCA